RNAcentral lists this ribosomal RNA (374 nucleotides) under uncultured bacterium. Its description in RNAcentral is "bacterial SSU rRNA". It matches the Rfam family "Bacterial small subunit ribosomal RNA", at positions 524 to 898 of the family's 1533-position model. The record is from RNAcentral.
UACGAAGGGGGCUAGCGUUGUUCGGAAUUACUGGGCGUAAAGCGCGCGCAGGCUGUUCUCCAAGUCAGUGGUGAAAGCCCGGAGCUCAACUCCGGAACUACCAUUGAAACUGUUGAACUUGAGGACGAGAGAGGUGAGUGGAAUUCCCAGUGUAGAGGUGAAAUUCGUAGAUAUUGGGAAGAACACCAGUGGCGAAGGCGGCUCACUGGCUCGUAUCUGACGCUCAGGCGCGAUAGCGUGGGGAUCAAACAGGAUUAGAUACCCUGGUAGUCCACGCCGUAAACGAUGAAUGCUAGCCGUUGGGUAGCUUGCUAUUCAGUGGCGCAGCUAACGCAUUAAGCAUUCCGCCUGGGGAGUACGGCCGCAAGGUUGAA